CCUGACCUCGGAUCAGACGUGAAUACCCGCUGAACUUAAGCAUAUCA
RNAcentral lists this ribosomal RNA (47 nucleotides) under Calicophoron microbothrioides. RNAcentral's name for it is "partial 28S rRNA". The record is from RNAcentral. RNAcentral also lists the same sequence under 1 other name. Lineage: Eukaryota; Metazoa; Platyhelminthes; Trematoda; Plagiorchiida; Paramphistomidae.